Molecule: ribosomal RNA, 468 nt
Filed under: uncultured bacterium
Lineage: Bacteria
Description: partial 16S ribosomal RNA
Rfam family: Bacterial small subunit ribosomal RNA
Source: RNAcentral
GACGAACGCUGGCGGCGUGCUUAACACAUGCAAGUCGAACGGAAAGGCCCUGCUUUUGUGGGGUGCUCGAGUGGCGAACGGGUGAGUAACACGUGAGUAACCUGCCCUUGACUUUGGGAUAACUUCAGGAAACUGGGGCUAAUACCGGAUAGGAGCUCCUGCUGCAUGGUGGGGGUUGGAAAGUUUCGGCGGUUGGGGAUGGACUCGCGGCUUAUCAGCUUGGUGGUGGGGUAGUGGCUUACCAAGGCUUUGACGGGUAGCCGGCCUGAGAGGGUGACCGGCGACAUUGGGACUGAGAGACGGCCCAGACUCCUACGGGAGACAGCAGUGGGGAAUAUUGCACAAUGGGCGGAAGCCUGAUGCAGCAACGCCGCGUGCGGGAUGACGGCCUUCGGGUUGUAAACCGCUUUCGCCUGUGACGAAGCGUGAGUGACGGUAAUGGGUAAAGAAGCACCGGCUAACUACGUG